AUGGCGCUGCGUAACCUUGUGACCAGGAUGGGGACCCCGGCCGCCGCCGCUCUCCGGCCGCCGUCGGUAUCCCGCGGGGCGCAGGCGGCGCGCUCUCGGCCCUUCUCCCGUCAGGUUGAACACGAGGAUAUUUCCAAGAUACGUGCUAAAAAGAAGUAUGAGUUCAGUCUGUUCCUCCUUGAACGGUCAGAAAAACAGCUGGAGUCUGCGAAGGUCUGGGCUCAGAGGUUUCAAAGGGCAGACAAGUACCUGGGUUGGACUCUCAAGGUGGUCAUGCCUGCUUCUCUUGUGGCUGUGAUAGCAGGGUCCAAGUAG
This 315-nucleotide ribosomal RNA is filed under the name Triticum aestivum (bread wheat). Its description in RNAcentral is "partial small subunit ribosomal RNA". Lineage: Eukaryota; Viridiplantae; Streptophyta; Magnoliopsida; Poales; Poaceae. The record is from RNAcentral.